UACAGAGGGUGCGAGCGUUAAUCGGAAUUAUUGGGCGUAAAGCGUGCGUAGACGGUUAUUUAAGUCGGGUGUGAAAGCCCCGGGCUCAACCUGGGAAUUGCAUUCGAGACUGAAUAGCUAGGGUACGGUAGAGGGAAGCGGAAUUUCCGGUGUAGCGGUGAAAUGCGUAGAUAUCGGAAGGAACAUCAGUGGCGAAAGCGGCUUCCUGGACCAGUACCGACGUUCAGGCACGAAAGCGUGGGGAGCAAACAGG
This 253-nucleotide ribosomal RNA is filed under the name uncultured bacterium. RNAcentral describes it as "partial 16S ribosomal RNA". It matches the Rfam family "Bacterial small subunit ribosomal RNA", at positions 524 to 776 of the family's 1533-position model. The record is from RNAcentral.